This 253-nucleotide ribosomal RNA is filed under the name uncultured bacterium. RNAcentral's name for it is "partial 16S ribosomal RNA". It matches the Rfam family "Bacterial small subunit ribosomal RNA", at positions 524 to 776 of the family's 1533-position model. The record is from RNAcentral.
UACGGAGGGGGCUAGCGUUGUUCGGAAUUACUGGGCGUAAAGCGCACGUAGGCGGCUUUGCAAGUCAGAGGUGAAAGCCCGGGGCUCAACCCCGGAAUAGCCUUUGAGACUGCAUCGCUUGAACAUCGGAGAGGUAAGUGGAAUUCCGAGUGUAGAGGUGAAAUUCGUAGAUAUUCGGAAGAACACCAGUGGCGAAGGCGACUUACUGGUCCAUUACUGACGCUGAGGCUCGAAAGCGUGGGGAGCAAACAGG